Molecule: unclassified non-coding RNA, 1782 nt
Filed under: Hevea brasiliensis (rubber tree)
Lineage: Eukaryota; Viridiplantae; Streptophyta; Magnoliopsida; Malpighiales; Euphorbiaceae
Source: RNAcentral
UUAGGAAUACUAAACAAACUCAAAUUAGAAAAAAAAAAAUAAUAAAUUUAAUAAAAUUUCUAAAUAAUAGAAUUCUAAACUUCCUAAUUAAUAGAAUCUAAAGUUCCUAAUUUCACAUUGAAAAAUCAAAUUAUUCCAGAAGUAUCACCUUCCUAUGCUGCAUCACCUAAUUUAUAACAUGGGUUAUUUCUUAGACCCAAUACCUAAUGGCUUUCACUUCAAUUCUUUAUUAGAUUAUAACUUUCAUACAAUAUAUAAUCAGGAAAUUUAUUUAAAAAUUUAGUGCGAACUAUUGGAGAAAUAGUAGUGUUAUUGCAAGGGUCAUUUUUGUAAAUGCUUGAGUUCUAAAUUUUUCACGACACUAAACUGACCCAAUUACCCCUUUUUUUUUUUUGAAAUGAAACUCCAAGUUUACAUCAUGGUACAAAAAAUGGUUUAUUUCCAUAUAAAUUUCGUUCAGUCUUCUUAAAAUAAUGGCACCUCAUGCCAUUGUUGAUGCUGAACACCAGAAUUUAAACUUCAAAGAUUGUAUUUAUUGUCAUAAUUAUGAAUUUUAUGUUUGUAAUUUGUAUGUGGGCUCUUGUUCACAUAAAAGAUACGGAAAUUAGUCAUUCUCUAGAGAAUUGCUAAUUGAACUUUCUAUGGUGUAUGAUAGAACAUGAGCCUCUUGGCUUUGGGCCCUUUUUCAUCUCCAUCGACAUGUAAUUCUUGGUUUAUUUAUAUAUGUAGAGGCAAUGUCCAUCUAUUACUUUCUUCUCAUAUUAUUGUUGCAAUCAUAAAUGAUAGUAUGAUAAGAACCUAUUUAGCUUAUAAAGAUUGUACAAUUUCGAUGAGGAAUAGCCUUAUGCUCAUUUCAUGAGCUUUCUUCCUUUUUUUUUUCCCCCUUAAACUGAAUUUCAUCACUAUGGAAAUUGACAAUGUUUCUUGUAUUGAUAAAUACAAUAUGUGAACAAACAUGUAGGUGCAUAACAUAAAUACAUAGCUAUUAGUCUACCGUUCACCACUGAUAAUCCUUGACCAUCGGCAACCACCACUGAUCGCCAGUGUUUGGUGGCUGCCACAAUUUACCAUUUAAUGUAUUUGUUUCUUGUAUGCCACAAUUUACCAUUUUAUGUAUUUGUUUCUUGUAUUCAAUAAUAAACAAUAAAAAGAAGUUUUUAUCAUCGAUACAUUUUAUAGUAUUUAAACUAAAAGAAAAUUAACAUUUGCCAAUACACUCCUAACACUGGAAAUUAACUUCCCUUCAUUCUUUAGCAUUGCAAUCAAAUAAUGGAAAAUAAGUUAUUUUUGUCCGAAAAUAUUUUCCAAUAUUUUCAUUAGAUAAGUUUUUUUACACAAAACAAACAGAUUGUUGGUAUAAUAAUUUUUUUUUAAACAAUCUUUUUGAAGAUAAAUGAUUUCUUUGAUUUCUUUUUUCAUUAUAAUGGACAAGAUUGUAGUGAUAUUUAAUUCAAUCCUUAAUUUUUUAUUUAUGUUUUUGCUAAUCGUUUAAAAAAUUCACGAAAUCUUUGGAGUUAUUCUGUCUGUUUCAUGCUGAUUCAAUCUAGUUGUGUUGCAUUCUAAAACAUUUUCAAUUCAGUUAUUUAAAACCCUGCUGAGAUGUGGCUAGACAUUUACAGUACGUCUCCAUGUUCCUUGACCACUCAAAUUCCUCCCAUUGCAUGUUGCUUAAGUGCUUAGUUGACAGCUAAUAAGUUUUUCUUCCCCCAUUAAUAAUGAAUCUGUUAUUAAACUAAGCAAGCUCAAAGAUAUCUUGUUUUUCAGGUUCUGGGCAUACUAAUG